UGUCAACUUGCUGCUAGAUGAGUGGCUGUAGGGAGGUCGCAGACUCCCCACCUCUCCUACUGGGCGUGUCAGUUGUUUGUUUGCCAGGAGCGGCUAAUCUGCCGUGGAGCCCGCCAGCUGUUUUGUCCUUCCGUGUGGCUUCGAAGUCCAGUGUUGGCACCCAUAAAUACGCCUGGACGGCCUCUGCUCCUUGGAAGUCCGCCGUCUGCAGGUUGCUGCACCCCUGUCGACCUGCUGGCCUCCUGACCGAGCUGAUUACACGCUUGUGGGACGCCAGGAAUACACAGAAGCGAUCCGCUCACUUUAUCUUUUCUUUUGAUUAAGUGUAUUUGGGUUAGGUGUUG
This is a long non-coding RNA of Salarias fasciatus (jewelled blenny), 344 nucleotides long. RefSeq lists it as uncharacterized. The record is from RefSeq and is a predicted model, not a curated record. NCBI's taxonomy places the organism in Eukaryota, Metazoa, Chordata, Actinopteri, Blenniiformes, Blenniidae. The transcript is spliced from 3 exons.